This is a long non-coding RNA of Rhodamnia argentea, 851 nucleotides long. RefSeq lists it as uncharacterized. The record is from RefSeq and is a predicted model, not a curated record. The transcript is spliced from 3 exons. Lineage: Eukaryota; Viridiplantae; Streptophyta; Magnoliopsida; Myrtales; Myrtaceae.
GUGUGAGUAGUAAUGGCGAUGGUUCUAAUGCUGAUGACAAUGAAGGUAACAAUGAAUAUGACAUCCAAGCUUGGCGAAAAAGCUUCCUUCAUGCGAAGAAAAAAGUGUUUGAUGACAAAAAAAUCUGAGCUCGAUCGGUAUCUUGAAGCUGAAAGUUAAGAUGUCCUUAAUUUGGACCUUUUGAUGUGGUGAAAGAGUACUAGGUCAAAAUAUAAAAUCUUAUCUUUGAUGGCUAGGGAUGUUUUAUCUAUUCCCGUGACUACCGUUGCUUCAGAGUCGGCUUUUAGUACAUCGGGCCGUGUGCUUGACAGCUUUCGAAGUUCUUUGACUCCUAGAGUUGUGGAGGGUUUAAUUUGCACUCAAGAUUGGUUGAGAGCUGUUCGCGUGCCGAUUAAUGUUGAAGAGUGCAUUGAGAAUGCGGAGAAGUUUGAGUCGGAUUUGGAUUGUCUUACCGAGGAUAUUAUCAUUACUAAAUAGACUUCAUUUGUGGAAACUUUGAUUUUGCGCGAGUCUACCACUACUAGCACUCUUAUGGCUUAAGCUGGACAUGGACCCUGGAUUAGUUUUGAUGUAGUUCUCGAUUGUUGUUGGCCAUCGAUCCUAUCUCUCUCCAUGACAUUUUCCAUCAUCUUGGAUCAAAGAACUUUUUUAAUUUAUUUUACUUGGAGAUGGGAUAGAUAGAUAGAUGGGUUUAAUUUACUAUUAUGAAUUUUCAAUUUUACCAUGUACUUUUAGCGAUAAUGUCUUAAUUGUGAAAGUAGCUUAUCUCUAAUUGCUCAACAAUUCUGAACCCUCCUCGAGGUUCAUUCAAAGCAAAAUGUGGGAGGAUAUUUCUUUUUCUAUUGAGGAUG